UUUAUGCAUAUAAUAGAUAGUGAAGAUAUUAUAUGUGGAUAACUAUACAUAUUAUAAAUAUUAUAAAAGAUAAAAAAUAUUGUUAGAUAAGAAUGAAAAAGAAUUAUUGUUAGAUAAGGCAUUAGAUAAGAUAGAAUAAGAAUAUUAUGUGGGCGGCGGUUAUUAGGAGAUAGGUUAUGCAUAUAAAAAGUGAAAUUUGAUAGGUACAACAAUUUAGGUAAAAAAGUGACAGAUACUUAAUUCAUCAGUCAUUUGAUUAGAUUCAAUGACUAAAAAUUAAUAUAUUUAUGAUUUAUGAUAGUUUAAAAUUAAAAUAAAAGUUUUUAGACUGUAAUUUAUUAUAUAUUAAUGUUGAAUGAAUGAUAUUGUUAGUAUAUGAUUAGAAUUAUAUUAUAAAGAAUGACAUUUUUUUAAAAAAAGUAUUUUAAAACUCUCUCUUUUAUAAAUAGUAUAGAUAUAGAUAUUACUUCACACUCAUUUUUUACAUAAUAAGAAUAUUAGGCAGUCCCAGCCAAACCUAAAAUAAAAAUAUGGAAGAUAUAUAUACUUACUUCUUGCUAUAUUUUGGCAGUGUCUAACGUACGAUGCUUGCAAUUCCAAUUGAAAGCAAUGUUUUUUUUUUUUUUUUUGAGAGAUAGGUAGCACGCUAUCCGCUUCGUUUAUUUCAUUUAGAAAUAAACUUAGCUGGAAAUGUGAAUCAACUAGGAUUCGAACUUGGGUCGCUGGUACCAACCACCAAACCCUUUGCCACUUACUCUGGGGACGAUCAGUAAUUGAAAGCAAUGUUGACCUGUAUAUACUACGACCUGU
Molecule: long non-coding RNA, 810 nt
Filed under: Ananas comosus (pineapple)
Lineage: Eukaryota; Viridiplantae; Streptophyta; Magnoliopsida; Poales; Bromeliaceae
Description: long non-coding RNA (ACOM_LNC017984)
Source: RNAcentral